This 445-nucleotide ribosomal RNA is filed under the name uncultured bacterium. RNAcentral's name for it is "partial 16S ribosomal RNA". It matches the Rfam family "Bacterial small subunit ribosomal RNA", at positions 354 to 796 of the family's 1533-position model. The record is from RNAcentral.
GUGAGGAAUAUUGGACAAUGGGCGCAAGCCUGAUCCAGCCAUGCCGCGUGCAGGAAGACGCAUCUAUGGUGUGUAAACUGCUUUUGUACGGGAAGAAACACUCCCUCGUGAGGGAGCUUGACGGUACCGUAAGAAUAAGGAUCGGCUAACUCCGUGCCAGCAGCCGCGGUAAUACGGAGGAUCCAAGCGUUAUCUGGAAUCAUUGGGUUUUAAGGGUCCGUAGUCGGUUUAAUAAGUCAGUAGUGAAAGCCCAUCGCUCAACGAUGGAACGGCCAUUGAUACUGUUAGACUUGAAUUACAAGGAAGUAACUAGAAUAUGUAGUGUAGCGGUGAAAUGCUUAGAUAUUACAUGGAAUACCAAUUGCGAAGGCAGGUUACUACUUGUGGAUUGACGCUGAUGGACGAAAGCGUGGGGAGCGAACAGGAUUAGAUACCCUAGUAGUCC